Sarcophilus harrisii (Tasmanian devil) is the source of this 409-nucleotide long non-coding RNA. RefSeq lists it as uncharacterized. The record is from RefSeq and is a predicted model, not a curated record. NCBI's taxonomy places the organism in Eukaryota, Metazoa, Chordata, Mammalia, Dasyuromorphia, Dasyuridae. The transcript has 4 exons.
UUUCUGGGGAACUACCCAACCCAUUCCUGCCUCCCGGUGACCCCCUAGGAAGUGUGGAGGACCGUCUGCCGGUGGUCUCAGUGACUCGCCGGUCCCCUCCCGCGCAGGGGGCGGGCGGAGUUCAGGAGCCGAAAAGGCGGGAAGAAGGAAUGAAGGACCAUCAAAUCUCAGAUGGUCCACUUCAAAAAAAAACCUUGAAGACAGUGGCAAUACUUUACUUCCCAUCUGAGUUCCCUCCAGGGUUCAUUUAACAGGAUGACACAUGAACAUCAGGAGUAGGGGACCUGGGAUCAAAUCCUGCCUCCUCUGGUUACUGUGUAGGUUCUGGAUGUUUUGCCUUACCCCGUAUACUGAGGAAGCUAGCCCACUCACAAGACUCCACUAUAUGGGUACCCUCUAUACAUAAAUG